This 685-nucleotide ribosomal RNA is filed under the name Chromatiales bacterium. RNAcentral describes it as "bacterial SSU rRNA". It matches the Rfam family "Bacterial small subunit ribosomal RNA", at positions 1 to 677 of the family's 1533-position model. Lineage: Bacteria; Pseudomonadati; Pseudomonadota; Gammaproteobacteria; Chromatiales. The record is from RNAcentral.
GAACUGAAGAGUUUGAUCCUGGCUCAGAUUGAACGCUGGCGGCAUGCCUAACACAUGCAAGUCGAACGGAAACGAUGGAAGCUUGCUUCCAGGCGUCGAGUGGCGGACGGGUGAGUAACGCGUGGGAAUCUGCCUAGUAGUGGGGGACAACCCGAGGAAACUCGGGCUAAUACCGCAUACGCUCUACGGAGGAAAGCGGGGGAUCUUCGGACCUCGCGCUAUUAGAUGAGCCCGCGUCGGAUUAGCUUGUUGGUGGGGUAACGGCUCACCAAGGCUACGAUCCGUAACUGGUCUGAGAGGACGAUCAGUCACACCGGAACUGAGACACGGUCCGGACUCCUACGGGAGGCAGCAGUGGGGAAUAUUGGACAAUGGGGGAAACCCUGAUCCAGCAAUGCCGCGUGUGUGAAGAAGGCCUGCGGGUUGUAAAGCACUUUCAGCAGAGAAGAAAAGCCUGGGGCUAAUAUCCCCGGGUCUUGACGUAACCUGCAGAAGAAGCACCGGCUAACUCCGUGCCAGCAGCCGCGGUAAUACGGAGGGUGCAAGCGUUAAUCGGAAUUACUGGGCGUAAAGCGCGCGUAGGCGGCUUGGUCAGUCGGAUGUGAAAGCCCCGGGCUCAACCUGGGAAUUGCAUUCGAUACUGCCGAACUAGAGUAUGGGAGAGGGAAGUGGAAUUUCCGGUGUA